Molecule: ribosomal RNA, 253 nt
Filed under: uncultured bacterium
Lineage: Bacteria
Description: partial 16S ribosomal RNA
Rfam family: Bacterial small subunit ribosomal RNA
Source: RNAcentral
UACAGAGGUCCCAAGCGUUGUUCGGAUUCACUGGGCGUAAAGGGUGCGUAGGCGGCAAGGUAAGUUUGAUGUGAAAUCCCCGGGCUUAACUCGGGAACUGCAUUGAAUACUAUCCUGCUAGAGGAUCGGAGGGGAGACUGGAAUUCUCGGUGUAGCAGUGAAAUGCGUAGAUAUCGAGAGGAACACCAGUGGCGAAGGCGAGUCUCUGGACGAUUCCUGACGCUGAGGCACGAAAGCUAGGGGAGUAAACAGG